This 453-nucleotide long non-coding RNA is filed under the name Solanum tuberosum (potato). RNAcentral's name for it is "long non-coding RNA (STUB_LNC003551)". Lineage: Eukaryota; Viridiplantae; Streptophyta; Magnoliopsida; Solanales; Solanaceae. The record is from RNAcentral.
CUAGCUUUCAAAGAGUGGUUUGUAGUAGACCAUCAAAACAUAGAACAAUAUCGUUCCGUGAAUACACACCAAAAGUACUGAUGGGAGUUGGGACCAUUCUCCAGAUUUUCUUGAUGGUUUUAUCAAGAAAAUCAAAGCAAUAAUACAUGAGUGUAAUUAUACGUAUCUUUUUGUGCAAACAUUUGGAGAACACUUCACAGAUGAUGUAAUUAUGCAGUUCACUUCCUACCUAGCCCCCCAUCUUGACUCCUAUUUUGCUACUCUAUACACUUAACAAAUAGUUGGCAUAUCAUUAUCCCUCACCCCCUUUUUUUCUUUCCAGCCAUCUUUUCUCCUCAGGCUCUAUGCAUCUUGAAUUUCUUUGAAAUUACAAAGUGGCUUCAAUUCUACAUCUAAAUAUUCCAGAAUUUAAGCUUAAGCAUAAGAGCACCUUUUUGAAAUUCUUUUUUUUUU